RNAcentral lists this ribosomal RNA (490 nucleotides) under uncultured bacterium. RNAcentral's name for it is "partial 16S ribosomal RNA". It matches the Rfam family "Bacterial small subunit ribosomal RNA", at positions 30 to 507 of the family's 1533-position model. The record is from RNAcentral.
AUUGAGCGCUGGCGGCAGGCCUAACACAUGCAAGUCGGACGGUAACAGGAAGCAGCUUGCUGCUUCGCUGACGAGUGGCGGACGGGUGAGUAAUGUCUGGGAAGCUGCCUGAUGGAGGGGGAUAACUACUGGAAACGGUAGCUAAUACCGCAUAAUGUCGCAAGACCAAAGAGGGGGACCUUCGGGCCUCUUGCCAUCGGAUGUGCCCAGAUGGGAUUAGCUUGUUGGUGGGGUAACGGCUCACCAAGGCGACGAUCCCUAGCUGGUCUGAGAGGAUGACCAGCCACACUGGAACUGAGACACGGUCCAGACUCCUACGGGAGGCAGCAGUGGGGAAUAUUGCACAAUGGGCGCAAGCCUGAUGCAGCCAGGCCGCGUGUAUGAAGAAGGCCUUCGGGUUGUAAAGUACUUUCAGCGGGGAGGAAGGGAGUAAAGUUAAUACCUUUGCUCAUUGACGUUACCCGCAGAAGAAGCACCGGCUAACUCCGUG